CCCUUAGAUGUUCUGGGCCGCACGCGCGCUACAAUGGCAGACUCAGCGAGUUACCUCUGUCGAAAGGUACAGGGAAUCUUUACAGUAUCUGCCGUGAUGGGGAUAGACCCUUGUAAUUUUUGGUCUUCAACGAGGAAUUCCUAGUAAACGCAAGUCAUUAACUUGCAUUGAUUACGUCCCUGCCCUUUGUACACACCGCCCGUCGCACCUACCGAUUGAAUGGUCCGGUGAAGUCCUCGGACCCAGUUGAACCUCGAGUUGAACAGGGAAAGUUGACUAAAUCUUACCAUUUAGAGGAAGGUGAAGUCGUAACA
Molecule: ribosomal RNA, 314 nt
Filed under: uncultured eukaryote
Lineage: Eukaryota
Description: partial 18S ribosomal RNA
Rfam family: Eukaryotic small subunit ribosomal RNA
Source: RNAcentral